Stegostoma tigrinum is the source of this 1581-nucleotide long non-coding RNA. RefSeq lists it as uncharacterized. The record is from RefSeq and is a predicted model, not a curated record. The transcript has 4 exons. Lineage: Eukaryota; Metazoa; Chordata; Chondrichthyes; Orectolobiformes; Stegostomatidae.
UGCAGAAUUUCUCGUCAGUGCAUGCUAUUACCACUGCAUUGCAAUCAAAUAGUGUGUUCAAUUUGAAGAAGACUUGGGCAGCUGUGUCAAAGAGCAGUAAGAUAACAUUUGAAGACCUUUCAAACAAUGAAGAAGAUAACUUUAUAGCAAGUAGAGAGCUGCUAAUGGAGGAUAUCGUUCAGGGAAUUGUGCCGUACCUGGGAACUUGCUUAACAGAAUUUUCAGCGCUGGAUUCGGCUUUCCCGAAUUACCAUUCAAAUGGCUUGAUCAACUUUGACAAGAGACAAAAAGUUAGGACUGAAAAUUGCACUGUGCAAAAUGUUUGGAAUUGUAUGAAAGGGGAGAAGCAUGCCUUUCAAUCUUGUGCUGCUUUAUUUUCUUGAUGGGGGUGUAGCGGGGGUCUACAACUGCAUCCUAAAUGUAUAUGGUCACUAAUAAAUCCAAUAAAGAAUUCAGGAGAUGCUUUGUUGCUCAGAGCAGCCAGAUUGCAGAAGCUGCUGCUACCAGGACUCAUUGAGAGGAUGAGCACAGAUGUAUUUGAGAGAAAGUUAGAUGUCAGAAAGGACACAAAGAGGCAUAUUUAGAGUUUGAAGCAAGGUGGGAGAGGUGUAAAGAUCAGCAUGGAGCAGUUCAGCCAAAUGUCCUGUUUUUGCGCUGCUAAUGUGCUGCAAUUUGCCUUUGAGCAGUCACAGCCACGUACAGGAUAUGCCAGGUGUUAUGUGAAUGAGGAUGUUGUUCAAUUAAUCUCAGUGUCAUGGAAGCUAUUUCAUUAUUGAAGACACUGGGUAAACAAUCUCUCCAUAUUAGUCAGUAUUUUCCUUUAGAUGUGAGGCAUCAUUUCGUCAUGGGAUGUCAGAAAUUGAGGGAGUACAACUGUUUGGAUUCUCACUGACUGGGCACUAUUUUUUACUCCAUAUUUCUGAAUUUGGUAAUACCAAAUUCUCAAACAUCCCUGUUGUCACGGCUACUGUUGAGGGUAUCAUCAAAUCCCUAUAGUGUGGAAACAGGCCAUGCGGCCCAACAAGUUCAUAGGGCCACUCUGAAGAGGGUCCCACCCAGACCCAUUCCCCAUGUCUAACUCACUGAACCCCAAAAUAUCCCUGGGCACUACGGGCAAUUUAGCAUGGGCAAUCCACCUAUCUUGCACAUCUUUGGACCUUGGGAGGAAACCAGAGCACCCAGAGGAAACCCACUCAGAUUAUAUUUUCAUCUUGUACUGCAACAUUCAGCAGGCAACCUGAGAAUAUUAAUUUGAGUGGAAUUUGACCUUAUGGCAAACAAUGAAUUAUUGCUUACAGAGCUGUAACUUGAGGUCCCUAUGAAUAGAAUAAGUUCCGAUCAGGAGCAGCUGAUGCUGAAUUUGCCAAACUGGGCCAUGUGAUGUAAAAUCAGCUGGGUGGCAAAGUAGGCAUCCAAAGCUGUGUGACUCCAAUUCACCAGCUCGGAAUGUAAUCUGUCAAAUGGCCCGCCAUUUGUAGUGGCUGAUGUGGAUGUAGUGAAGUGUUUCUUUUCACUGACCUGUUGAAAACUGGCACGCACUUUACAAGUUGGCAGUAACAUGUUGUCAGAGUUUGACUUAGA